CCUACGGGAGGCAGCAGUGGGGGAUAUUGCACAAUGGAGGAAACUCUGAUGCAGCGACGCCGCGUGAGGGCAGACGGUCUUCGGAUUGUAAACCUCUGUCUUUGGGGAAGAAAAUGACGGUACCUGACUAAGAAGCCCCGGCUAACUACGUGCCAGCAGCCGCGGUAAUACGUAGGGGGCAAGCGUUAUCCGGAUUUACUGGGUGUAAAGGGAGCGUAGACGGCGCUGCAAGUCCGGAGUGAAAGCCCAUGGCUUAAACAUGGUACUGCUCUGGAAACUGUAGAGCUUGAGUGCGGGAGGGGCAGGCGGAAGUCGUGGUGUAGCGGUGAAAUGCGUAGAUAUUAGGAGGAACACCGGCGGCGAAGGCGGCCUGCUGGACCGUAACUGACGUUGAGGCUCGAAAGCGUGGGGAGCAAACAGGAUUAGAUACCCCAGUAGUC
RNAcentral lists this ribosomal RNA (440 nucleotides) under uncultured bacterium. RNAcentral describes it as "partial 16S ribosomal RNA". It matches the Rfam family "Bacterial small subunit ribosomal RNA", at positions 338 to 795 of the family's 1533-position model. The record is from RNAcentral.